CAGCCUUGACUCUGGAUUAAUUUCCACACAUUCAUCGUGGGUAAAAGCCGAAGUCGAACCAGAAGUGUAUACUGCAGUCAUGCUCCCUGAUGGCGUGUUCCCCGAAUGGCUUCCACCCAUGCUUCGACCCUUCGUGUGACGGUCAAGGUCUCUCAGAGCCUUGAACCUCGGGUCUUCGGUGUAGUUGCCUGGUGUUGGGAUUGAAUCUGGAAUAGUUGCCCUUCCUUCGAGCAUGUUCACCACCUCAGACAUUGUUGGUCUUAGCGAUGGCGAUGCAUUGGUGCAAAGUAGAACUACUUUGAUAACCAUUUCUGCCUCUUCUCGAUCAAUCUCAGGCUUCAACUUCUCAUCCACUAGUUCCAUCAAGUUGCCAGAUUGUUGUACUUGACAGGCCUGUAAUCAUAGCAUUAAUAUCGUCAGCAUCGAAUAAAUGGAUCACCAUACUAUGUUUCGGGACAUUUUCUAAUAUAACAAGCACCUUUAUUAAAUUCAAUGAUGUAAAUGCCUAAAAAUUUCUAGUACUAAAACCGAGAUAAUUUAAAAGUGAAGAUUUUCUUGAAGUGAGUAAAUGUUCUUCCCAUGAAUCUCAUCAUACCAUGCCAUCUCAUUAGAUUGUUCAUCAUAUAGAGCACCGGUCACAGUUAAAAAUGAGAAGAACUUACCCAAUCCAAGAGGCAAAUGCACUCAUCACUUGGCACAAAACUAUUGUUGCUUUGACCACUAACAAUUUCCAAUACAAGAACUCCAAAGCUGUACACAUCUGCUUUAUAGGUGAGGUAUCCCCAUAGGGCAUAUUCAGGUGCCAUGUAUCCCCUGCAAAUAAGGAUAUAAGUUCUAGGUUAAAAUUUCCAUCAGACAUCAACAUCAUACAUAUGAGAACAAGUCAAAAUAUGGUUUUUGUGAUAAUCUCACAGAGACAUGGCGACUCACAUUGUUCCGGCAACCUUGGUGUUAAUAUGAGUCUUUUCCUCUUCAUCGAGCCUAGCCAAUCCAAAGUCAGAUAUUUUGGGGUUUAAAUCUUGAUCCAGCAGCACAUUAGUAGCUUUAAUAUCUCGAUGAAUAAUUCUAAGUCUGGAUUCUUCGUGAAGAAAUGCCAGACCUUUAGCCACUCCAAUGCAGAUUUGAAGCCUUGUAGGCCAGUCAAGUUGAAGCUGAUGGUUCUGUGGACCUACAAAAUACCCAUUCACUGUCUAUACACCGAAAUUUGAUGACAUGGCAUGAGAAUUUAGCAAGAACUACAAUUGAAAAAUUCCUAGACUCACCAAACAUAGCACGGAAAAGACUAUUAUUCUCCAUAUACUCAUAGACCAGCAACAGUUGAUCCCCUUCAAUGCAACAGCCAUGAAGCUUGACAAGGUUAGGGUGUUGUAAACAAGAAAUCAUGCCUAUCUCAUUCAAAAAUUCACGAUUCCCUUGCUUCGAUCUGGAUGAGAGCUGUUUAACUGCUACCAAAGUACCAUCAGGUAAUUGACCCUGCACACCACAAUAACUCACAGUUUCUUCCAAAGCAAACUAAGUGGGAACUUUGUUAUUGUCGACAUAUGAAUAGCACUUUUAUACCUUGUAUACAGGACCAAAGCCACCCUCUCCAAUCUUAGAAGCAGGAUCAAAAUCAUUAGUUGCUGCUUUAAUUUGAUGCAAAGAAUAAGUCCGUAUUUGCAGAUCCAAUCCUUUGUUAUCAUCUGGACAAGGAUUUUAAAAAAUCAGUGGGAAAUAGUUCUCCAAUGCCCAAAGGAAACUCUUGCAGCAAUGCAGACUAAGAUGUAUAACCAUAGUUUUCCAACUGAAGAACCUUUUUCUUAUUAAAAAAAAAAUAUAUAUAUAUAUAUGUGUGUGUGUGUGUGUGUGUGUGUGUGUGUGUGUGUGUGUGUGUGUUGCUUAACACAUCGAGAAAACCUUGCUUCUUGAGGAGGAGCAAAAUAAAGAAUGAAGGAAUCGAAGUGAACAAAAAUGUAGAAAGGAACAUUCAUGAAUAAAUGCGCCUCUGUGUUUCUGUUUCUCUUUUGAUGUGUGAAUGAUAGACAUAUAUAUAUGGCCCUGAAAAAAGGAUUUCAUCUGAACUUGUAUACAUAUGAUCCACAUUGAAAGGGAGGGAUUCAUGGUACAACCUGCAGAUUUUCUUCUCCCCCUUUUCCCAGUCAAGUACCCUUUCCACCAAAGGAUGCACAGCAUGAAGAAAACAAAGCACGAGACUCCAACUCCUAUGAAGAUAGAAUUAGUUCUCCUUUUUCCAUGACUAGAGCAACCUUCAAAACCUGCCCAAUGAAACAAUUCAAAAGAUAAUACUACUUCUGAACAAAGCACUAAGGAAAACAUCAAAGGAAAAGUACAAGCUCUAGUUUAUACUGUGAAUGAAGGAAAGAAAUCCUCCUAUUUUGCUUUUGAAAACCAACAUCAUGUAAUGCAUGAUCUUAUUUAAUGAAGAAUAUAGGUUUAAACAAAUCCUCCUUAGGUACUUUCUGCACUCAAUUGAAAGAACAAGAAAGCAUUUUGUUUAUAUCCAUGUCUUUAUAUGGUUUCGUACCACAUAUAAAUUAUCAUAUGCACAAAACUGCAAGACUAGUAAAAUUCACUCUGUUUCAAGCAUGGUCCUAAAAUGUACCAGGUCAUGUCCUCAUCCAUGUGGCAGUGAAUGCAAAUUUAAGCACUUCAUCUGUUUUCAGCUUUCAACAAGGAGAGAAGAAAAGAACGAGAUCUACUCUUGACAAAGAGGAGAGCAGCAGGUGCACUUUUUCAGCAUGUUAUACUGUAGCAAUUUGACUAAACUAAGGUGAAUAUUGAAAUUUUUUCUAUGUUUAUCAUUAUAGAGACAGCAUGAUAAGAAGCCAGCAAAAUGAAGUGUACUUCAUCCUUUAAGCAUUCAGCAAAAGCAGAAGCAUAAUAUUUUUGAAGAAACCAAAUGCCCAUAAAAUUUGACCAGAGUAUGCCUCCCACACGUAUUCAAUCCACCUUUAAAUGAAGCAAGCUGGAGGCUCAAACAACUAGAAAGGUCUAGUUACACAUACUAAAACUGGACCUGCGAAGAAAAAGCUACAGCGACAUAUUCUUAAAAUAAAAAAAAAUAAUAAAUAAAUAAGGUAGUAGUACUACCAUUAGUCUGAGCAUAUAAUGGACACUGAUUUAUCCCUAAGUUGGGGUGGGUAAUGUCUCACCCAAUAAGUUCUCUUACUCAUUGGGACCAAAUUAUAAUGAAGCAGUUGGACUUUUAAUAUUAAACAAUCAAAGCAAAGGAAAGGCAAAAUUACACUGGUUUUGUAAAUUGCAAAGAUUUUGUGCAAAACAUUUACUGACUUCUAGUGCAAUUAUACGUAAAGAAAAGAUAUAAACAAUUCACUCACCAGAGACAACAGAAAUUGCUGAUACUAGAGGACCAUAAACACUUCUACGGGGAAUUCUUGUUGUUCCUUUACCAGCCCAAGAAAAUCGGACCUCCAGCAUAUUAUUGGUCACAUUGACAUUAAAUAUUUCCACUACAGGUUUUUCAACCCCACCCGCCUCAUCUUUGAUAUUGAAAUCCUUCCGGACUAAUUUGUCCUGUGAUAUUGUAGCAUGUUGAGAGGAAUGCCCAACUCCAAAUAUGUAUAAAGCACAAGAUGCAACAGUAACAUGUGGAACUACCUGAAUAUAUAUAUGGAACAUUCGCUUCCCGAGACUAUUAAAUGCAUUGUCAGUUGUGAACUGAAUCUCUGCAAACCGUAAAUGUACAGUGUAUUGUCCAUUUUUUAAGCAAUAAAAGAAGUAGGUAAGCGAAAUCGGAGAGAUUCUUGCCGUUGUAUAGCUAACAUCCAUGUUUGCAUCUGAUAAAGUUACAGUGUAUAGUUUAUUUUGGUAAUCAUUGUCGUCCAUGAAGUCACCUGUGCUACUAAACCCCCAAUUCUGAUUUCUAUUAAAGGAGUAUAAUGCAGUACCACCCUCAACCUGUCCAUCUCCUUCAUACAGAACAGUCUGUUUAUUUUCUUUAAUGUUUGCAUCUUGUCCGCCACAAUUAACAUGUCGGCAACUCGAAUCUGUCAGGACAAGUUUAAACUUCAGCAAAUAAAUGGAUGAACCUUAAAUGAGAAAGCAGGGAAAAAGUGUUAGCAUAUUUGCAUAUUAAGUCAUACCUUCAUCUAAUAGGUUAAGCUUUCAAAAUAGUUAGCAGUGCUUUUACAAAACUUUUACAUGAUAUCAGAGCAAAAGGUCCUUGAUACAAAUCUUAUCAGGCCUUUAUUCACCUCCCCUAUUAUACAUUUCCAUGCUCAAGUUGUUGACCAAAGUCCAGCUUACAAGAGAGGGGGAGUGUUUGAGCAUUGUUGAAUCAGGCCUUCAUUUAAUAAUUUAAACUUUAGAAUAGUUGAUAGUGGUCUCACAAAAUUUUACAAAAAGAAUGCUCUGCAUCUUAGGAACAAAAUAAUGAGGGGACGCCAUCCAUGAACCGAAAAAUAAAACCUUCUCAUUUUCCAUAGAGAAACAUUGAUGAGACCAUUUAAUUGAGAAGGCAGUUACUGACUCAUAUACAUAUCAAUUGGAAGUUUUAAUACAAAAAGGCAUUGUAUCUAAUACAUGUUUUGUAGCUCACAGAAAAAUACUUACAGCGUGAACAGCGGAAGUUGUCCAAGCAUGGCAUGACUCUACUUCUGCGGCAGAGUAGAAACAUAAACCGAUAGUUAAAGAUAAGUGUUCCUGCCUUUUGAAAAUGAAUCGAGGACACAAUAGUUUGAACAGAGCUAGCAAAAAUAAUAAAUGAUAGACCUCUAAAGCAAGUAAAAGAAUUGUAAAGGGAAAACAAAACCGAGAAAUCUUACAAGUUGUUCUCUUGUGAAGAGCUUCUGUAUAGGUUCAAGUUUAGGUUCCUGACAGAUGAAGAAAAACUGACUUAUCAGAUUUCUUAAGUACAUAACACUAUGACCUAUUGGGCAAAAUUCACGAGAAUCCUCACAAGUUGUCCUGACAAGCUCGUUGGUCGGAGCUUUGCCAUGAAAAGUUGUUGUAAGAAAGAUCGCUGCAUCCACAUUACAAAAAACAUUCAAGUGAUUUUACCUUAAGGUGAAGAUUUGACAGCAAUUGUAUCCCAAAUAAGCAAAAGAGGGCACACCAAAAUUUCAGAAAGUAAGUUUGUAAAAUCAACAUCGAUGAGAAGAAAACAUACACACUGGUUCCAUCCUUCAAGAUUGAGUCUGGUACUUGUCCACUCAGAAUAUUGCCCGUUAGAAAGCUGGCGAAAACAAAAUCUGGUGUUUUAGCAUUCAUGAAGAAAAAUUGAGCACCAAAAUGCAUGAGAAAAACAAAACUUAUUUACGCAUCUGAAUAUAUAGUGUGACAUAGUUACAGAUUGAAUGCCCCCAUUUGAGGUUGAAACAUCUGCUACUACAAGCAUGUUGGGUUUUGUAGAACGUGGCUUCAUAUCUUCCCUCUACCUCUAAGAGCGCAUAAAAUAAAAACACCAAUAUAUGUGAUGAUCACAUGGCUCGAUUUUUCAGCCUUUAAUUCAAUCCUAUCAAGAAAGAUUUCCAUAAAAAAAUCUCCAUUUUCACGGUCAUGUCACCACCCAUUUCAUUAUAUCUCAUACAAUUGAUAGGGUACAGACUUACAUAAAUCUCACACUUUUUGCAGUUAUUGUUGCUGGAAUUUCACCAACUAAUCUGUUGAAGCUGAGAUCCCUGUUAAAUGGAGGAUAUGAGUGCUUGUAUGUGCAAUGUUACUCCAAAAACUGAAGACAGAAAUCUCAAAUAACAAAGCCAGUUCUAAGUCUUGUGCACAGAACAUAAACUUGACCGGAUGCAGAAAUUAAUGCCAAACAUCCUACCAAGAAAACCCCUGCCCAUAUUAGUAACUUUCUUGUAUAGUUAAAUUUGGUCACCAACUGAAAAACGAACUUUGGAUUAGUAUGAAUCACAUAUUCCCAAUUUAUACACAAAUUCCAUACAACAUCAGUUUGGUCCUCCAGUCAUAAAAACAAACAAAAAAAAGAUGCAUGGCUUAUUGCCAUAAUGGCUUGGCGAUGUUAGUCAAGUACCAUUUGUGGCCGUUAAUCAGGAGUGGAACCAAAUCUUUUGAGGCUAUGAAUUAUACAUAUCUAUAAUAUUGCAACUCACACUGAUUGCCAAUUGUAAAGUACAAGUAAGAAGGGGCAGCAGUCAAUGUCUUGGUUGUGGGAAAAAAAUGUCCACUUUCAAGGCUCUAAUUAUAGGCGCUUAGGACAGUCCACCAUUGUGGAUCGGAAGAAAAAAAAUGUGGACAACCAUAGCAGGAGGCAAUUCUGUAUUAGUGCUGAACAAUUUGACUGUUCUUUUUAUCAAAAAGAAAGAUCAGUACAAGUUAAAGUCCCAACCGAUUUUUGAACCUAACUUCUGGCAUAUGUGAGGCAACACCAUCAAUAGAAUAUAUCGUGUGAUCAUGCAAUGUUAUCAUUGUGCACUUUCAGCUCUCUUGCACAGCAUGACUUUGACACUCCUACUUGCGCAUCUACUGUUUCUCAUACGGCGGCUAACAUAGAAACUUCAAAGUUCAUUCGAGCACCCAGACGAGAUUCACCAGUACCUUUGUGCAACAAUGAAAAAUUGUACUGACUUCUCUGAAGGAUCUUUCAGAUCAUGGAAGAUGGUUAGAAAGUCUUUUCAAAAUUGAGAAUGAGUGAUGUGGACAUUAGCAUGAUUUGUACUGUACAUGAUGCAAAAAGCAAGCUAAGAAAUUUUACAGACGAUAACUCACACCAGUUAUACUUACAUAACUUCUAGUUCUUCGAAGUUCCAAAUGUAAGAGGGAAUCUCCCCAGAUAUGUUACAGUUCCUUAGCACCCUGACAAUGUAACAGAUUGGUUACUCAAACAUCCGUGACAUCUAACAAAAUGAUCUCCUAGUAGAGAAAUGAGUGAAACAAGAAUCAAACCUACAAUGUUACGAGGCCGGUCAUAUUACUGAGAUUAGGAAAUAGCUGUCUGGGACUGAUUAUGUCACUCAUUCUCCUGAGAAAGAUAUAAGAACUUGCUCUAAAUUUCUCAACUUGAUAACUGCAUGUCAGAUUUUCAAAUAUGAGUUUCACAGGAUCAUGAACAGGAUACUGUAUGCUUACAAGUGGGCCAUGUUAUUCAAAAGUGAGACACCAGUUGGAAUAGGCCCCUUCAGCCCACUUGCGAUCAUCUCUCUGCAUAUCACAAUAUGAAAAAUGAUAGUUACUUGCUUGGAAUGAGUAGUAUUUGCUUUUAUUCAUCAUCUCUAGCUUAAAAGAAUUCAAACGAUCUUACAAUCUAUUGAGUUGUAUGCAGUUCUUGAUGAACUCUGGUAUUCUGCCACUGAAGUUAUUGUCAUUUAUCCUCCUGCAUUAUGCAAUCGAAAUGUGUCAUCAGACAUUUGACUUAAGAUAUAUAAUCUGUAUGGGAGGAACAAGACAACAUCGUACAAAUCUGUAAGAUUUAUCAAACCAGCAAAAGAGGUUGGCAAGUUUCCAGUUAACCGAUUGGAGGAUAGGAUCCUGCCAGCAUAAUAAGCCAAGAAUAGACCCUCAUCAACAUCUAAUAUAUACAAAACUUGCAAUCAGAAGAAGUGGACAAUAAAUAAAUAAUGCAGCAUCUUACAGAGAUUGUAGGUUGAUCAAACUUUCGAGCUCAGGAGGAACGUUGCCAGAGAAUUGGUUGGCCUCAAGGCAUCUGAUUUAGAAUCCCUAGUAAAAUCACUAGUAGUAUGACCCAACAUAACUUAAGACAAGGAAAUUGCAUAGUAAGUGUCCUAGCUUUACCGCAAAUAGUAAUCAUGGCAACCAAGAGAUUCUAUAGACAUUAUCACAGCUGUAAGCAAACUUGCAAGCAACAGAGACAAAGAUAUCGAAAACGCACAGGUACGUGAGAGAGGUGAUAUUGCCCAAAGUCUUUGGAAUUUCCCCAGAUAAGCGAUUCACGGGGACAGACCUGCAUCAAUCACUCCAUUAUUUAGACCAAGCCUAAUGAGAUGCCAGUACAAGAUAGAAUUAUUAGAAGGAUCUUACAUUGAAGUCAACUGCAUAGAAGCCCACUCCUGAGGUAUUGUCCCAUAGAGGUAGUUAUAAGCGAAGUCACUACAAGAAUAAGAUAGUAUUUAUCCACAAAGUAGGAUUUCAAAUAAGUAUUCCAUGUCCUUAUAUUAGCUUAUAUCUUCAAGAAAUAUGAUAGUGUUUAAUUAAGGUCUCACAUUUCUCUAAGGUGAGGAAGCUUAGCAAGUUCAGGGGGAAGGAUCCCAGGGAGACUAAAGCCCUUGAGAGCUCUACAAAGCAUCAAAACAAAAAUUAGACAAACUCAAGUAACAUCACACGAUGAAUGAUAACAAUUUCUACGCAGACAAACAACAGAAAGAGGUCCUUAAGGGCUAUGUGACAAGCAGUCAAUGAAAAACUGUUUUAAAUUUGCAAAGCACAUCUAUACUCACCAAUGCUGCAUAAAAGCUGUUCUUUGAAAGGUUACAAGGAAUUAUAAUGACCGGAUUUAAUGUUUUUUAACCAACUAGGAUGAAAAUUAAAAGGAAGUACAAAAGAGUAUAAUUAAAAAAAUACUCAACAUAUUCUAGGAUAAUUCACUAUGUGUCUACAUAAUCUUCUAAAAUGUCAUGUUUGGAAUUGGAUGUUAUUAUGGUAUAAGAAUUUUGAACUAAAUAGUGGCUGGCAGUCCAAUAAGCAUGGGAAUAUUAGGUAGAUGAUUACAAUCUAAACAUCCUACAUAUUAUAUAUUUUUAAAAGAGAGCCAGCAUCUUCUUGGUUCCUUCUGAUGAAUAUUAUGAAAAAUUGCAGAAAUUGACUCAAUCAAAUUAUACAGAUUUUUACCUAGUCUACACGUAUCAAAAAAUUCCAGCUGCAGAAACGAAGUCCUUUUUUUCUCAUACCUGUAUAUAGUGAGGCUCUCAUUUGAGUCAGUCUCAGCUUUCAAGGUCUCGCAAUAACUUGUUUCCCAAGAAAAAUUGUGGACUCAAACCUUUUCAUGUUUUGUCAUGUAAUGCAUGUUAUUCAGCUGCCUAUGUAACACCUCUCAUUUUGUGUUUGCAACCAAGAAUCUGAACAUUGUCAAAGCAGCCCCAGAUAUUCACACUAUUUACUGUUGUGAGUUACAUCAACCCUGCUUAAGAGACCGUAUAUUAUAGAUAGACAAAAAAGAAUUAUUUUCUCCAGUCAAGGUGCAAAACUAUGCAUUAAAUCUGAGUAACGAGCUGAGGAGUAUAUACAUGCUUACGACAUGACAGAAGGUAUCAUUUAGGAAGUUGCAUUCACAAGCAACGGUACUCUCGGCUCCUUUUGGUAUUUCUGUUGUUACACCAACUUUUACGACUUCACAAGAAUCACCAUCAAACUCCCAAUACUUGGCCCCCAGUUUAGCAGCAAUUUGUUGAAGGGCGUCCACUGAAACCCAUUCAGAACCACGUAAAGAAGAAAAUAAGCAAAAAGAUUAGUGUCAUUGCAGUAACCUGAGUAGCCAAUCAAAUAUUUAAGGAUAUUUGCCUGAUAUCAUUAGCAAAGAUCAGGCCAACUGACUAAGUUUAGAAAUUCUGCUAUGCAGACCCAAGAGAAGAAACCACUCCAACCAAGAUCAAUCCAAGAAACAGCAGAAUCAGCAUAACGGCAAGCAAAAUAAGAAUUGUGGACAACGUGACGAAAGAGAGAACUGGAUUUUGUCUGUUCUUUUUAUUUCUGUUGUAAGUUACUGUACAGCAGAUCUCGUUGUGCUUCAAACCCACUAAAGAAAGGCUGAAAAACACAAAAUUCCAUAAACAAAGACAGAUGCAAAGCCAACUUAGCUACCCCAAACCAUCUUAAGAAGGCAAAGCUCAGAAAAACUCAGCAAAAAACUUUUAAUUAUCUCCAGAGUUGACAAAAUGAAGAUUUUGCACUCACCUUCUUGGGGAGAAACCUUUGGUUCAGCCAAUCUAAGCAUCCUGAAGUAGCUCAAGGCACAAAUCAAGAAAAUUAAGGAGUUCUUUGCAACCAUGAUCAAGAGAAAAUGUGGGUCUCAGAUAAGCCAAGACCCAGGUAGCUGGUUUCGCUUUGGACUUGCGUUCUCAGAGUAUUGUCAAAAGAAGCAAAACUCGGAAAUCUCUCUCUCUCUCUCUCUCUCUCUCUCUCUGUACUUUAUUUGACGUUUCUGGGCCUUGGAGGUGUGCAUGUUGGAGCGUAGCCCCCACCGUACCGAACGAACUCAGGAGUCAAACUUUCUUUUUCCGUCAUUUCAGUUUCAGAAGACAAAAAUAUCAUCACCUAAACUUUUCCUGUCAGAUUAUCAAAUUUUGCCUCGGGACUUUUGUGAAGGUGGAAGGUGUUUUUUUUUUUUUUUUUGGUCGGUUGAAGGUGGAAGGUGUUAGCUAGUAAAAAUUACAAUUACUUGUGCUCGACUUUUGGAGGGUUUUUUUCUCAUUUUUUUUCUGAAAUACUGAACUUCUCGGUUGAGUUUAAGCUUAAAUUAAUUUAAUUUUCAAAGAACUCCAUAAUAUUAUAGUUAUUACAUUAUACUGUACUCGGGACUCAUCGAGUAAUCGAACUUUCAAGUUUCAAUUACACAUAUCAAUUCACCAUAUUAUAAAUCGCCAUGUCAACAUUUAGACACAACGACAUCGUUUUAAAUUUACGUUAUGUAAGCUCUAGCUUAGAGUAGAAUAUGCUUGCUAUUAAAAACAAAAAAGUCCUAGCAUCAAAAUGUUAAUCGAGUUUAUUUGACCUUGAAAAGUCAAGCUUAUUCGGUAACACAUAAUCAAACCCAUUAUAUACAUACUUAACGUCGAAGCUAUAGACUAUAGUUAAUGCCGAAGCUCAGAGAAUGUACGCUCCAAUUCUCGCCACUAAACACUUCACUUAUGAUAUGUGGGACAGUUUUGCCGCAUGCCACCUGUUGGACCAAUAAGCUUUUGCUAUAAUUUAAUUUUGUACUCGUGAAAAGUUAAAGAAAUUUAAUGAUUUUGCCAAAAAUGAGAAUUUAGAUUAAGGCAUCAUGACUAUGUAGUGAAAUCUCCAUAGUUAGGAUAUUCAAUGAAUAUAAAAUGAAGAUAAACAAAUAAAUAAUAUGAGCAAAGAAUAAGAUUAUAAAACAGUAGCUCUUGUUUCUACAUAAGUUAUUUAGUGACAUGUGUUUUAAAUAGAAAUGAAUUUUUACCAUGUGAACUAAAUAAUUUGAGCAUAAUAAUUUAUGAAAAUGUAAUUGGAGCUCGAUAUUUUACACCAGACUUAAAUACAAGCAACCAACUAUAUAUGCAUAUUUUUUGGAAAAAGAAGAAGACUAGAUAUGCAUAUUUACAUUCUCCCCCUUUGUAGAGGAAAAAUGGGAAUGUAAUCGAAAUUUAAUCGUGAGCCUAAAAGCCGAGAUCUCUCUUGGGGUUGACACCUUUGUAGCUUGAAUCAUUGCUAGGCCACUUUAGUGGGGCUUGAACUCGAAACUGAAAGUGCAAAUUCUCCUAAAGUAAAAUAUAUAUUUACAUAAUCAAGUUAUAUUCAACAUCCGACAAGUAUUUGCCAUCAUCACAAGCUGCUUAAUCUAUUAAUGCCGUAAAUUGGCCUUCCUGCUAAACAUCCUUUCUUCCAAGAAUAGGACAAUGAUAAUUGCAUUAUAAAGUAGGUAUGAUAUUACGUUUAAGGCAUUAUAAAGUAGGUAUGCUAUUACGUUUAAGGCAUUAUAAAGUAGGUAUGCUAUUACAUUUAAGGCAUCAUGAAAGUUUCAAUACAUAGAAGAAAAAAAAAUGCCACUACUCGCUAUGUGCAUAUGUACAUGAAUUGGCCACUUGUUUAGGGGACCGUCAACAAUGGCUGCCAGAUAAAAGCUAAUUUCAGAACAUCUCAAUCUCAGGGUUGAUGUAUUGGAUUUUUCAAAGGCUUUUGCGUCGUGAUUACAGUUGGCCGAUGACGAUCUGGAAAUGACUUUUCCUUCGGUGGAAGUCAUUUUUAAGCGGGCUUUGACCGCAUGGACCGUGUUCGAUUCUUCAUCGUUCGUUAUUGGAUGCAAUUUGCAUAUCUGGACGGACAGCGACGUGGGUGUCCGACCCGGAGACGAGACCCCAUCACGUAGAAUUAUUUUAUCGGAGCUGACUAGAUGUCCGUUCCGACGAGAGUGGGGCAUGGUCGAGGAGAAAUUAUUAUACGACCAUAGUAAACGUGCAUGGCUGCAAAAUCGCGGGGCUGGAAAGAGAGACGACGUGUUUGAAUAGAAGCCGUUUCAAAUUCGCAAUCAAGCGACGUGAGACGAUACCGGAUUGAGAAUUGCUAUGGAGUCAUUGCUAGGGGCGAUGAUAUUGCAGUCGUGAAGUGUUCUUAUUCCUUUUCUUUUCUUUUUUAAUGAAGUGACUUAUUUUCACAAGGAUAUAUAAAAUGUCUCAUUCACCUGUAUCAAACGAAGGGCUUCAUGCGUACAGUGGAUGGCAUGGCUCCUAAAGUUACUCUAGGUGGGUAGAGAAUCCGUAAUUUGAGUAAAAGACCUGCCACUAUUGAGAAAACUUCCUAAUAGAUUUUGACGUCAACAAAAUUGUUCAUGAAAAUUUGGUCAGUCUGAUAAUCAUCUUAAAGUAUAUUGAUCUAGAAAAAUACUCUUGGAGUGAAGUUAUCUCAAUAUAGUUCGAACUGAAGACCAGACUGUUAAGUCUAUUUCAGUUGGAAUAAGCUCGGGCUUAAGUUUAGACUUUAUAUUGAAGAUGAAAAUCUUCACACUAUGACUACGUUUGGCGGUUGAGAUGAAAUUCGAGAUAAGAUCAAUAUUAUCUUAUACCGUGUUUAAUGCUUACUCAAUAUAGGAUUAAAUUGAAUAUAAAAGGGAUAUAAGCUGGAUAAAAUUACUCUAUAAGGAAGAUGGAAUAUAGAUAGAUAGGAUCACCGCCCUCAGCGGCGCAGCUGGCUUGGGCUCUCUCCCCCUCAUGAAGGGGAGAAGUUCGAAUCCCAAAUGCGUCGUUAGAGAUUCUUACCUGGAGUAUUGUGGCAGUGGGUUUUGCAGUCACGUACUAUGGCGAUGGAUCCUACAGUCGCUCCUUCAGAGUUUGUUCGCCGGCUAUCGGCUUACGAGGUUCCCUAGGUUACCAAAAUAUAUAUAUAUAUAUAUAUAUAUGUAGGUAGAUAGGAUUUGUAAUAUCCAUAAUAUAAAAUUUAUUUUUUUCAAAUAACAAACUUAUUAACUUAAGAAAAUUGAAAUUAUAUUUCAAUAUAAACAGUAUUUGAACUCUAAUAUAAGAAAUUCAAAAUAUGAAAAAAAAAAUGAAAAUUUAGCUUUUUUAAUUUAAUCUUAGUUUUAUUUAUAUAUUCGACUUUAAUUCUAUAUUAUAAUAUAAAUUCAAUAUAUAAAUAUAAAUAUAUAUUAUAUUUAUAUUUAUUACAUGUUUGAGGCAUUUUUGUAUUUUAGGUAUAUUAGUACAGUUUACUAUUUAAUAAAAUUUCAUCAAAGAAUGAUGAAAGGGGAAAAAAGAAAUAAAAAAUAAAAUGAUUUAAAAAAGAGAGUAAAAAAUAAAAAUAAAUUAAGCAAUAAUUUCGCAAGAGAUUUUUACCAUAUCAGUUUGUGAACUUUUAGGUUUAUUUACAUUGAUGUGUUUUUUAUACCAAAAAAUGUACAUAAGAUUAUGUGAAUAUAUCUGACUUUAUUAUUGCAAUUCACCAAAUAAUAGAUUGGAUGUAGCAAAAUCCAUGGAUUUCUUAUCUAAUCUUAUCAUAUCUAGUAUUAUUCUAGUUAGAAAUCCGAACAACCAAAUAGUGUAAGAAAAUUACUUUUGCUCCCAUCCUGACAUAAGUUGAGACUGAGACAAGUUCAAAACGUGACUCAAGUCUAGACCAAGACAAGUUCAAAACAUGACUCAAAUCUAAAAUGAGACGCAAGUUUAGAACAUGACCACAAUCCAAAAUGUAUAAUGGCUAGUGAUCCGGUUCAUAUUUCACACUAAAAAAUAUUGGAUUAACUCAAUCUUAUUUGAUUGGCAAAUCAAUUUUGAGACAAGUUCUUUUCAAAUGGAGAUGCUUUACUUAUUAAAACCAAGACUCUAGUUGUAUGGGUGACUAGAAUCAAGUGAAGAUUUAGUUUUGUCUCUCAACGGCCACACAAUUUUCUUGAUACAAAUUUGCCCAACUAAUAGAUUAGAAUAUUAUCCUUUGGAGACCAUCCAACGACUAGUUUGGAAAUAAAUGAGUUUAUAAAGAGACCAAGGUACCAAGGAGCAUGUAAGAGACAAGACCCAAUAUUUAGAAUUCCAAAUUAUGAGCAUACUUCGACCAUACACUUGUUUUUCGUAAGCUUAAUUUUUGUGAUCAUGAGAGAAGUACAAAAAAAGUAACCGAGUGAUAUAGUGUGAUCUAUCAGACACUGAGUGUUAAUACUCAAUAUUAUAAUCUCUUAUUAAUCAUCUAGUGGAAUCUAGCCAGUGGACUAUCAGUAUGGGAUAGUAAACGUAGGCUUGAUUUAAGUCAAAUCACUAUAAAUCUUGCAUGCAAAUUAUCUUGUCCCUAAUCUCUUUUGGUUUAUUAUUAUAGUCUAUUACACACUCCCAAGGUAUUUCUAAAGUUUGUUCUACUAUACAAAUGAUUCUAUAUAAUCUGAUCUUUUGUUCAGAUUUUGAUCUUGACUCUUUCUAUUUCACUUUGAAUUAUCAAGAUUUUAUAAAAUCCCUUACUUACCCCCCCCCCUCCAGGUGAUACUUGCUAUCUACUUCAGCCACGUCCAAGUCAGGAGCUCCCACUCAGCUAAUUCAAUAAGGGUUAGCUACACGAUGUUUAUAGACACUUUGCAAUAAGCUUAAGCAACAUCUUAAGUUGUCUCGAUUGAUUAAAACUCAAAAAUCCAAUGAUGAGCUUGAAUUCAACAUGUAGUUGAAAUGAAUUAAAAAGUUUUUGAAACGUACAUGUUACGAAAUCGCAUGUUGAUUCCAUAAAAGUAACGCUUGCAAAUAAUUCACCAAGCAGAAUACAAUAAUAAAAGGACAGAAUCAGAAGAACACACCAGCAAAUUUGUUAACGAAGUUCACCCAAACCUAGGCUACGUCUCCGCGCAGAGGUACUCUGCAAAUCUACUAGAUUUCGAAAAAAGUUUGAAUACAACAAUGAUCUUCUCUCAAGAUCAUGGCACAAAGAGAUUGAAAACUCUCGUAAAGAAAAAACUUACUUUUUUCUUCUCUUUUUCUUGCCUCUUUAUUUUCUUUUUCAACGUCUUGAUGGUUAGCGUCUUACCAUCGUUAAUAUAAAGGUGUAGCUUUUAACCUAAAAGCAAAUAUAAUAAAAAAGACAAAAAAAAAGCCUCUAAAAAUAUUUGGCUUCAUCUAUAACAAUCUCCCACUUGAAGACAAAUAUACCUGAGCACCAAGCAACUUUGCAUCCAUCUUCUUCAAAAAAGUAGUACUUGAAAAACUUGUGCCUCUACGAUACUCCUCAUCAAUCAACAUGGAGUAAUACCAAUGGUAGUGAUACAGAAAAUAUGAUUAUCUCUGUCUACUACCUUGGUCAACAUGUCAGCUGGAUUCUUUGAGUCAUUAAUCUUCUGUAACUUUAAUUCAUUAUCUUUCAAUGCUGAUAUGAUAAAAUGAUAAUGCUUCUUGAUAUGUCUAGUCCUUGAGUGAUAAGCUGCAUUCUUUGCUAAGUGCACUGCACUUUGACUAUCACUCCACAGUGUACAGACUGGCUGUUUUCGAUGUAGCUCCUCCAUGUAAUCUUGUAAUCAUAUGAUUUCCUUGGAGGUUUUUGUGAUCGUCACGUAUUAUGCCUCUAUCAUUGAUAGAGCCACUACUUUUUGUAGUUGAGAUACCCAACUCAUUGCUGUACAUACAACUAUAAAUACAUAUCCAAUGGUACUCUUGCCACUAUCUCAAUCACUCAAAUGAUCUGCAUCUACAUAACCUUGUAACUCUAGAGAUGUAUCACCAUAACAAAGUGAGUAAUUGAAAGUACCUACUAGAUAUCUCAAUAUCCAUUUCACUGCAUUCCAAUACUCUCUGCCUGGGUUCUGCAUAUAUCGACUCACAACUCUCACUACCUGUACAAUGUUUGGUCUCGUGGCAUACAUCAAACUCCCUACUGCUGAUGUAUAUGAAACUACCGCCAUCUCAUCUUUCAAAGCCUGAGUGCUCAGACACAUAUCCUUGAAAAGUUUGAAGUGACUCGCUAGAGGAGUUUCAACUAAUUUUGCCUUGUCCAUGUUAAUUUCUUUAACACCUUGUUCACAUAGUCUCAUUACGACAACCAUAAUUUCUUAUUUUCCUGUCCCUGAUGAUUUUCAUGCCUAAAAUAUUCUUGGCCUCUCUUAAGUCUUUCAUAGCAAACUGUGAUGAUAACAUCUUUUUUACUUCUACGAUUCUCUUCAUAUUGGAACUAGUAGCUAGUAUGUCACCCACAUAUAAAAAGAGAUACACAAUGUGACAAUCAUCAUACUUGCGAAAAUAAACACAGUGAUUAGACUCACAGUGUGUAAAUCAUUUUUAUUUCAUAAAACCAUCAAAUUGUAUGUACCAUUGCCGCAGAGCUUGUUUCAAGUCACACAAGCUUUUCUUCAAGCGACAUGCUAUGUGCUCCUUACCUUUAACUUCAAAACCCUUAGGUUGUGCCAUAUAUAAUUUUUCAUCUAAGUCACCGUGUAAAAACGCUGUUUUUACGUCUAACUACUAAUGCAAGCCAAGGGUAGGCUUUCUCAAACAAUAGGAUCGGGAGAGUGACUCGUGCACGGGAAACAAGACGAACAGAAAUUUCAGCACUGCGCAAGCUCAGGAGAACAUUCGUAUCUUUGUCGAUACAGAUCGGAUUGACUUGAUUCUAAAGCCAAAUAACAAAGACUUCUGGAUCUACAAUUUCUAUGUUUUGGGUUUUCUGAAAUAAGCACUGUAGGAUGGUCGAAAUUGGGUUGGAAAUAACGAACAGAAUAUGAAAAGAUGGAAACUCCGUUGGUUGCUCUUCUAGGCCUCCAAGGAAGUUGAGGGGGCACCGAUUCUUCUAGAUCGAUGACUGCAACUCUUCAAGGAUGCAGAUUUCAAAAGCUCCAACUCUUCAAGGACGGAGUGAAAACUCUUUGGCUACGUUUGGUCGUCCGGAUUUCUAAUUGGGAUAGGAUUGGAUAGGAUAGGAUAUGAAAUCCUGGGAUUUUUUUAUAUCCCGUCCAGUGUUUGGUGAAUCGCAGUAUUAAAGUCGGAUAUGUUCAUAUUAUGUACAUUUUUUUUUAUAUAAAUGACAUAUUAUUAUAAAUGAACCUAAAUGUUCAUAAAUAAAGACGGUGAAAAUAUCUCGUAACACUAUUCCUUAAUUUAUCCCUUAUUUGUUAUUUAUUUUAUUUAUUCUCUUUUUUUUAUAUUAUUUUCAUUAUUAUUUCUUUUUCCCCUUUCAUCAUUCUUUAAUAAAAAUUUAUCAAAUAGUAAACUGUACUAACAUACCUAAAAUACAAAAAUACCUAAAAUAUAUAAUAAAUAUAAAUAUUUAAUUUAUAGGUUGAAUGUUUAUUAUAAAAUAUAAUUAAAAUUGAAUAUAGAAAUUAAAAUAAGAUUAAUUAAAAAUAAAUUUUUAUUUUCUUAAAUUAGAAUUCAAAUAUUAUUUAUAUUGAAAUAUAAUUUCAAUUUUUUUAAUUUAAUAAGUUUGUUAUUCAAGAAAAAUAACUUUCCUUUUAUGGACAUUAGAAAUCCUAUCCACCUUUAUCCCACCUCCCCCAUGGGAUAAUUUUAUCCUGUCUAUAUCCCCCUUAUAUCCGACUUUAUCCUAUCCCGAGUGAGCACCAAACGUAGGAUAGGAUAAAUUAUAUCCUAUCCCGAAUUUUAUCCCGACUGCCAAACGCAGCCUUUUAGGUUUUCAAAGGGAUAAACUCUACAAGGUUCACGAUACUUGCUUCAAAGCAAAGUUUUUUUUUCAUUCAUCAAAAGUCGUCUUUCUUUUACAAGGAAUUGGAUGGCUUAUAUCGUCAAAGAAAUAAAGAUAGAGUAUAGAAACUUGAAAGCAUUAAAGAGCUUAGGAACUAGAAACUAGAAACUAGAAAAAUAAUAAAGAGCUUAGGAACUAGAAACUAGUAAAAGCAUAACGUCUUCAUGGCUCCCAAGGUGUCUUCUUUCAAACUUCUGGGAUGGACUCAAGAUGUCGAUACAGCUUCUCGGUUUCGUCGAGCUUGAAUGCGGGCCGAUCUUCUUGGUCGAGAGAGCCGGUCUUCAAUGCGGGCUGCAUCAACUACUCAAGAUAAAGAUCCUCCACUGCAACUAUACUCAGCAGAACUCUAAUUGUUGUCAUUUUCACUACAGAUGAAAAUAUCUUGACGUAGUUGAUCCAUUCUUUUUUAGAAAAGCCCUUGACUACAAGUCUCGCCUUAUAUCUAAUACUACUAUCUGCUUCAUUCUUAAUCCUGUACACCCAUUUGUUUAAUAAAUUUUUUUUUACCAGUAGGCAACUUGGUAAACUCCCAAGUUUUCUUCUGAAGUAACGAGCUCAUCUCGCCUUUCAUAGCACACUCCCACUGCAAGUGAGACGUGUCUGCCUUUGCCUCAUCGUAAGUCUCCGGUUCCCCUAAAUUUGUAUAUAAAAUAUGGCUAAGAACAGUAUUAGCUAAUGGAUCAAAAAUUAUCUUUGGCUUUCUCACACGUGUAGACCUCAUCAAUUCAGGUACUUCAGGGUCGUUAGUUUGCUUCGAAUCACUGCAUUCCUCUUGAACUACCUCUUCACUAAUAAUAGGCUCAUCUUGAACCUCUCUUUCAAGCACACUUUGAUCUACUGGAAACAUUUUCACGAGCAUUGUGUCUAAUUCAACAUAUUCUGGUUCUACUACCUUCUCAUGCUCUGUUUGACGAUCAUUAUACAUCUUUUUUUUCAUGGAAUACCACAUUCUGACUGUGGAUGACUUUGUUAUUCUCAUAAUUCCAAAGCUUAUAGCCAUACUUGUCGUCACCGUAUCCGAUAAAGACGCACUUCUGGGACUUAGUAUCAAACUUUUUCAUAUCUUCCCUAUCAAUCAAAGCAUAUGCAAUGCAACCAAACACCUUUAGAUGUGAAUAAUUAAUCUUUUUAUCUAACCACCGUUCUUGUGGUAUUUCUCCAUCCAAUGCACUAGAUGGAUUUCUGUUGAUAAGAUAAACAACUGCAUCAACGGUGGCAGCCUAUAAGUAUAGUGGGAGCCCCGCGUGUAGCCUCAUGCAUCUCGCAUGUUUUAGAAUAGUCAUGUUCAUCCUUUCAGCUAUACCGUUUUCUUAAGAAGUUCUAAGAACAAUAUUUAACUCGUGUAUGCCUUCUUGACUCAAAUAUUCUGCAAAUUCCUUACUUGUGUAUUCACCACCAUUAUCAGACUUCAGGGCUUUAAUCUGAUAAUCUUUCUCUUUUUUUACCAUGGUCUUCCACAUUCUAAACAUCCUGAAUACUUUUGAUUUUUCUCUAAGAGCAUAGACCCAAGUCUUCCUUGUCGCAUCAUCAAUGAAAGUGAUAAAAUAUCUCUUACCGCCAUAAGAGAGUUCCUGAGUAGGUCCCCAUACAUUAGUAUGAACCAACUCUAGCUUCUGGCCUUUAUUUUGUCGUCCAUUCAAUUGAAAACUAGUAACAUUAUGUUUUCCAUAAAUGCAACUCUCACAAUAAUCUAAAUCAACUUUUUGCAAACCCGGAAGUAAUUUCUUCUAGUGUAAUUGCUUUAUACCUUUUUUCACCAAGAUGUCCCAAACGAUAAUGCCAAAGAGUAGACAAAUUACCUAUAGCCAUUGUAAUUGCAACCAUAUCACUGAUAUUGUCUCAUUGGAGAAGGUAAAAUGCACCCAUACACUUUCUUUUUGCUACUACUCUUGCCCAUGAGGUUAUCUUUCACUAUUCGUAUCCAAAGGUUAUUACUAAACCUUCUUGGUCAAGUUUACUGGUUGAAAUAAGAUUUUUCUUUAAUUCCGAAAUAUACCUAGUUUCACGUAAAACUAGACGUCCUCCACCUGAGAUGUUCACAGUCACAGUUCCUUUCCCGACAAUAGGACACAUGUAGCAAUUCCCCACAACCACUUGUUCGAAAUAUCCAUUAGCAUAAUCAUCAAAUAUGUAAGAAGCAUCGGAAUCAAUAAACCAUUUAUCUAUCGUCAAGUCAAACCCUGCAAACAAAUGCAAAUUAUCUAGCAAUGUCGCGACCAAAAUUUUCGGGUGUACCACCUAGGUUUGGCUAAUGAAUUGUUAAGCCUAGACUUAACUCGGAUUCUCCCAAACCCAUAUCAAUUCGUGACUUAAGUUUAAAUUUCUUAACAUACAAAUGGAUUUUAUAUAGAAGUCGUCACUAAUCAGUUUACGGUAGGUCAAUUAGACACCUAAGUAAAAUAAUGGGAGGAUUAUUUUACUCCUACGAACUAGAGACUUCGAAUACAGAGAUUUGGUUACACUAGAUUUCUCUAAUGUCCUUUCAGUACCAUUUUUUUUUUCAAAAAUAUUUUUGCAGGCAGUUUGGAUUGAUUUUAAAUAUAUUUCCCUAACAUGUGAAAUGAUCAUGCGGGUGCGCAAUCCACCAAUUUAACACCCAAGGAAAGCAAAUAAAAAAAAAUGCAGGGACUUACCUCGUAGCAACGAAAGCAUCUGCGUUAUUAGAUCAAAAUUUACAUCAACAGUUCUAGAUAUAAUUUCUAAUUAACACGCAAUUUCCUUCUUCUUCUUUUUUCACUUAUUUAAUGAGAAUCAUACAAUGCAUGCUACUAAUCUAACAUGAAAAGAUAUGACAUGGUCGCAUCUCGGCUUCUUUGGCCUUCUUCUGGGCCGCCAGAUGCAACAUUCCUUGGAGAAAUCGAUGCUGGGAUGAGGUACUCUCUUGGGCCCGGAAGUUCCUAUCUGGAAAUGACUUCUAUCACAGAAUAGUUCGGUUCUCCUUUGGUGGCCUUUGCCAUCUCAUCUGGAAGAAGAGGAAUGCAAUCUUUUUCAGAGGUGAAUCUCUUGUGCUUCCGGCGCUCGAAAAUCACCUUAUCAAGAUGGUUAGAGAUAAAGCCAUCACCUUUAAGAAUGUCUCUCCCUCUCCGAGGAAUCAAAGACUUCAAAGAGGAUGGGGCUUCGACCCGGGCGUGUUUCUAAGUGGAUCUGCUCCUUAAUCGCUAUGUGCUGCUCUCAUUUCCGUUCCGCAUUCUCAGGCUAUUCACUGGAGGAUUGAUGGGUCCAUCACCGCGCCGGUGCUCCUUGGGUGUCGCCUUCGUGUUUGCUAGCGGGCUCGGCCCUUGUUUCUUUUACAUCGGCUCCCCUUCACUUUUGCCAAUCGGUUAAGAGUGUCGGUUAUGGAACUGAUCUUUUGUACAUUUGUCAUUCUCUAUAAUAUUAUUACCUUUACCAAAAAAAAAAAGAUAUGACAUGGCAAUAUGACCUAACUAUAUGACAUAAUAAGAUGCAAUCUAUACUAAAAAAAUGGAAUCAAUUUAUUCUAAGGCAUUUUUUGGUAUUUUCCCUGAAAUUCGAAAUUAUAAAAAUGCGAAAAUUAUCUAUCUAAAUUAAAAUAUCAUCUAAUUUGUAUUAGGAAUGAGGUUAAGCCAAAUCCUAAUUUUAAACUAGAAUGUUAUCCUAACUUAGAAAUCCCUAACUAAAAUGCAAUCUAUUUAAAAAAUUUAUCUAAACUUAUAAUAGAUUAAAAACUAUUAUCUAGAAUUAAACUAUAUGAAAUUUUACCCCACAAUGCAAUGACAUGCAAAGAAUGCCCUAAUUCUAAUUUUUUUUUUUGUAUUUUUGUAUUAAUUUCGAAAUUAAAAAUUGUCAAAUAAUUAAAAAUGCAACCUUAAGUUAAAAAAACUAGCAACCUAAAUUGAUUGAUUUGAUUUUUUAUUUUUUAUUUUUUGAAAUUCGAAAUAAAACUCCUAUUCUAAAUAUGCAAACCCUAAAACAAGAAAUAAACUUAAUCUAACUCACAUUUUUUGGAUUUUUUUUUUACAAAAACAAAAUCAAUUUAAACGACAAGGCAGCAGAUCAGAGCAAGACAAUAUUGAUAUCCAAAUUGACAAACCAUAUCUCGCGCAUGAGAUUGGGUUGGCCAAUUUUAAAUAAAUCGCGAAUCAAAUCUCGGACGUGAAAUUGGAUUGGCGAUUUUUCAAGCGAUUGCGAGUCGGAUUUUGGGCGCGAAAAUCGGACUAUCAAUCACAAAUUUCAGAAGCUAUUUCAUGUUAAACAUCUCAUCCUUACACUAAGGAAUAAUUAUACUAAAAAAGAACAUAAUAAAAAAACGAAAUAAAGUAAAUAGAAAGAAAAACUACCUAAUUUGCUUUUCUUUUUUUUCCUUUUGUUUUUAUUUUUUUCCUUUUCAAGCAAAGCAGCAACGUGGUGAUCGUCCGAGGUUGGGUCACCGGUGUUCGAAGCUCCGAUGUCGACCGGCGAUGGGCGGAUUGGCGGCGAGCGGACCGUCGGCAAAGCAGACCGGCAGUGGACUCCGGUGGUGUCGGGCAGCAGCAGAAGGCGAAAACUGCAGGGCGUCGGGUCGCGGCUGGUCGCGGAGAUCAACGGCUGAGCAGCGGCGGCGGUGUGGUGGCAAGGGUCGGCGGGUGAAGGAAUACUCAAGCGACGGGGGGUUGCUGGUACUCGACCGAUCAAAGGCGCAGCAGUAGCAGAGGUGCGACGAGCCGGCUCGGGGUCUGCUAGGUCGCGGGUUGCAAACGAGUCGGGGGUGUUCCAGUGCGGCAGAUUGAGCGAUGGCGUCGCCGAAAGGGAUUCGGGAUCUGCGAUGCUGCGGGCUUGCAGGAAUCUCGGCGGCGCGGUGAGGGUUGUGGAUGAGACCGGCGGAGCAGCGGUUGAGCGGAGAGGGCUCGUGGGUCGCCGGCGGAGCAGCGACGGUCGGCGGCUCGGCCGCCGGUACGGUCGAAGGCCCCCCUCUUUUGCGAGGAAGACGAUGCAACCUCUUUUCUUUUCUUUUUCUUCUUUCUUUCUUUUUUUUUCUUUUCUUUCUCUCUCUUUCUCAUGUCACUCACGUCCCCUCUCUCCCUUUCUUUCUUUCUUUUUUUUCCUUUGACUUUUCUUCUUCUUUUUCAAAAAAAUGAGAGAACCCCCCUGUCUUUUUCGUAUGCAAUGUCUUUUUUUUUUUGGUAAAAAUCGUACGCGAUGUCUUUUAUAAGCCCAAAAAUUGUAUCUUCGCUAUAUAUUUUAUUUCUCAUUUUAUUUGUGCAUAAUUCCCCUGAAUAUAUUGUUGUCGACAUAAGUGUAUCCCCGUUGAGCCCAUUGUCCGGGGAAUUCUGGAGGGAUAUGAAAAGUAACAAAAUACUUAUUUUCAAUAGUAGGAAUGAGGUGCUGGUCGAAUUUGGAGGACUUGACGUACUCCUUUACUUACUUUGGGGUUUUGUGAAUAAGUUGGCGGAUAAAGUGGAUAGAUGAGAAUGACGAGUUGGCUUUGGCAAAAGCGGAGUAAGGGUUUAUGAGAGGAAUUUUGGUUUCAGAAAUCUUGGUUUCAUCACUAAGAGAGACUUCAUAAAGAUAAUUUAUCUUAGAAGCAUUGAAAACACGAAAUUCUAGAUGUGUUGAAGAUGAAGGAGAAGGAGCAAGAGAAACGGGUGCUUUGAGGAUUUCUGGUUCUGUAGACAUGAUGUGAAGGGAUCUUCUCAGCACUGGAUUCACCUAUCAAGCGCAUGAAAUGGAUAAUAUUACAAAUGAAACCAUGGCGGGAUCAGGCUGUUGGAUAACAGGGUCAGAUUCCUGAGUACCCAAAUCCUUUAGAAAAGAUUCUAAUGGAUUGGAUAACAUCAUCUAAUCUGGUCUUUCUUUUAUAACAAUCGAACUUGUUCUGUAGGCAUCUUCUCUUUUCCUUUGUCUUUCUGCAACUUUUUGAUAUGAUCUCGUAAUUCUGCCAUAUUUGGUUUUUUUUUCUAAAAGAAUCUUUUGGAAUGGCAGCAAAAAUGGACGUCUAGGGUGGUGGAGGCAAAUACCUAGUUUUGAUAGUAGUUGCGAAGGGAUCGAAAGGUCUGAACCUUCAUUCUUCAAGGAGUUGAGGCGAUAUUCUCUUUUGUAUUUUUCGCAUAUUCCAUCCAAAAAUUUCCUUUCUGCUUAAGAGUAUGUCCCUCAGUGUAUAUUAUUUGAAUAUGUGAAGAAUCUUAGCGGAAUAUGUGAAAAAUCUUUUCCUCACCGACGAUCCAAUAAAACAAAACAAAAUAACAUAAAUGUUUCUAAACUAUAUGCAAUGUGAUUAUUAUUAUUAUUAUUUAUUUUUUGGGUAAAAAUUAACUCAUUUUUUAUGCAAAAAUUUAGGUGUCAACAAGCAAAAAUUCAUCGCUAACCAUAUUAGCUCAUUGAUUCUCAUCUCGCUUUUCUUUUUAUAGGCUUCACACUAAAACCUCCGAUGCUAGUUCGGUGACAAAACCAACACUCAUCUUUUGCAACCUGUCUCUUACCCCUUGAUUGUGAUCUGCCACGCUCAUUGAAUUUUCCUCUACUUUUACUUCUUCCAUGGUUCUCCACUGCGAGUGCCAUUGAAGAUCUAGAUGCCGAAAAAUUAUCUCCACUUGAGACUUUCCUUCGCAUUUCUUCAUUCAUGAUACUAUUCACAUCAUCAUCAAGAAUUAAAUCAUUCUUCAUGAUGCUCAAAAUUCCCUACACUACGGUAUUGUAGCUUUCUAAAAGAGAACAUAAAAAUAAUAAAGCUUGAAGCUUCAUAUCUAAAUUUAUGCCUGCGGAUUCUAAUUGACCCAUGACCUGCGUGAAACUAUUAAUAUGCUUUGCCACAGAAUCUCUAUCAGAUAACUUCAUAUUAACUAGUUUCUUCAGCAAAAAUAUCCAUAGACAGCUUCUCAUAAAUAUUCAUUAGAAUAUUCAUGGCCUCUUUUGCAGUUUUUGCUUUCGCGAUGUGGUAUAUUGUCUUUUUCGUCAACCCUAGACGAAUGCACCUAACGCCUUUUGAUUAAGAAUUUUCCAUUUGACUUCUGCGGUCGGAUCCACUUCCGCCAUCUCGAGUUUCCAACCCUCAAGUAGUGCAUAUAGAUCUUUUUGAUAAAGAUAAUUUUCGAUUUGUAGUUUCCACCAUCCAAAAUCUUGCCCAUCGAACUUAUUGAUUCUGAUUUUAUCUUCUGCCAUACUGUUUGCUUUCAAUCGAACGUCACCGAAAAAACCCUCAAUGUUCUCGAUUAGCCAACCCAUACUCUAAUAUUAAUUAUUAUGAAAUCGCAUGUCGAUUCCAGAAAAGUAACGCUCGCAAACAAUUCGCCAAGCAAAAUAUAAUAAUAAAAGGACAGAGUCAGAAGAACAUACCAAAAAAUUUGUUAACGAAGUUCACCCAAACCUAGGCUACGUCUCUGCUCAGAGGCACUCUACGAAUCUACUAGUCUUUGAAAAAAGUUGGAAUACAACGAUGAUCUUCUCUCAAAAUUAAGACAUAAAGAGAUUGAGAACUCCUUUACCAAAAAAAAAAAAAAAAGAGAUUGAGAACUUUCGUAAAGAAAAAAAACUCACUUUUUUCUUCUCUCUUUUUCUUGCCUCUCUAUUUUAUUUUUCAGCAUUUUGAUGGCUAGCGUUUUGCCUAAAGGUGUAGCUUUUAACCUAAACGCAAAUCUAAUUGAAAAGACAAAAAAGCCACUAAAAAUAUUUGGCUCAAUCUAUAAUAAUACAUGAGGUUAUUAAAAAAAAUUUUAGGCAUACAUGGGGUUAUAUGUUAUUACCAAACCUAUCCAGUUAAGGUCAUGAGCAUAUCACCGAUGGAAGGAACGAGCUGAUCGAUGCACACAGUGAGGCAGACCUAUUGACCCAACCCAUGGUCGGUCCAACUAUGAGCUUUUUAAUUGCAACAACCUUGAAUAUAUGCCGUGCGGCUCGGCCCAACCCCUCCCUGCCUCUCUCUUCUUCCCAUUGGCCUCUCCACUUCAAGCCCGACAGCCCGGCCCGGGCAUAUCGGGGCCCCAAACAAUCGGGCCGGCCCGAGCUUCGGACGUCUCGGACUUUCUAUUAUUAAAAAUUCUCAUUGCCCCCGACCCAGAUGCCACGUGGCGCUCAUGGUCUCGCCACGUGGCUCCCUUAUAGAUCCUCCCCAUCCUUUCUCGCCGGAAGCAUUUAGUUCGUCGUUCCCAAUACCGAGCUGGCCGAGAAACGCAGGAUGUGACGAAACCCUAAUCCCCGACCUCGAUUUCCGAUUCACCUCGAUUCUCCUGGGCUCGUCCAAUUCCGGCGGCGACGACGGCGGCGGAGGCGGCGGCGGCUCCACCUUUCACGAUGCCUGCGACGAUUUCCCGUUCUACGAUCGCCCGACUUCCUACGACUCCGCCGUUCCUCUCGACGAAUCGGAACCGAAGCGGCCCUCCUCGCCGGAGAUUCCCCCCGGCCUCCCGCGCCGGCAUUCGGGUAGGGUCCCCGCCGGAGUAGCGGCCGGGGUCGAAUCGGGCUUCGCCGCCCGUUCCGGAGAGAACAGGUUCAGGCUUUACCGCGAUUUGACGGAAGGGGAAGGUCCUAUCGAGCGAGCGCACUCGGGUGUGGAGGAGAGCGGCUCGAUUUCGGUUCCGGAUAUUGUUCGGCGUGAUGAGAGCGAGGAUUCCGCCAUAACAACGUCGAACGAUGCUGGAGUCGGCGACAUGGCAGCGGAGUCGAUCGUGACUCCGUCCGAGGUCUGUGAGGGCGUGGGCGAGCGGAAGGAUGGCGCGUCUAUAGUGACCACGGUGGAUGACGAACGAAUCGGCGACUCGGCGGUUCCGCUUGGUGGAACCACGUCUUCUAGUUUGCUCAUAUCUAUAGCGGGAAUACUAAUUAAGGCAAUUGAAUUCCAAAUUAACUUGUUAGUUAGCUUUAUUACUUUCCCAUUUUGGUGUUUUCGUACAUUUGACGCCUUCGUCUUCGACCCCUAUGCGACAAUGAGGUGUGGCGUGAAGUGUUUGACUGGAAAGAUAUCGAGCGUAUGCAAUUCGGUGUGCGAUAAAAUGAGUCCUUUUGUACGUGAAUGGUUCGAGCACAAUAAGUCAAUUUGGAAGCUCGUGCUGCGGUGCGGUCGGGGGCUCGUUUGGUCGAUGUAUGUUUGUUUCGUCUUGGUCGGUUUACUGGUGACUGCUGCUCUGAUUAGUGGUCUUAUAAUGAGGUUUCUGGUGGCAGAGCCGAUCAGGAUAGAGGACAAAUUGAACUUUGAUUAUACGAAACACAGCCCGGCCGCUUAUCUACCGGUAAGUUCUUGUGCCGGUGCAGAUUGUGGUAUGAAAUGUGGAGGGAUGGUUGUUGAUAGUGGGGAAAGAAAUCGAGGAAGCGAUGCUGUUUCAUCGUCGUUCGGCACCGAAACAACAAAAGUCAAAAUACCGCCGCUUUCUUGGCAGGACGCCUACACGAGUGGACUGAGAAAAGUUCAACAAGAUCCGGCUUUGAAUGUUGGACAAUGUUUCUACUCUCUUCCGGUUCUUUCAACCUUUCUUUUACCUUUUCUCCACUUUUGUUUCGUCACAUUAUAUUGUCAUACAUGGCGCGUCUCUUGUGUAAGUUUGCAAGCUCCAUUCAGAAUAUGCAGGAAGACAACCAAUCUUGCUUUACAAUCAAGAAACGCCGUCUGCAAAGCAGUUCAAACCUUCCCCAUCUUCUCGGUGCGCGAAUUAGUUGAGGAAAACCGGUCAAAAAAAUCGUCUUUUGGAUGAAAGAUGAGCUUCUAGACAAUGAUUAAUGAUUUGGAACUCCUUAUAUUGUUGGUCAGCACUACCGCCACCAACAAGGAUCAUCAACGCAACGCAUGUCAAGUCAAUCACUAAGAAAUUAAAAUACCUAAAGUAUGUUUUCCUUAGACAAAAUAAGAUGCAUGCACCACCAUUGGAAACUAGUACUGACUUUCCUCAUCAAAACUUAAGAUAUCACUCAAACUUAGAUUAAUAAAAAGAGUUACGAAAUAUUUUGCACCUUGAUUUAUACAACACUAUUUGUAUGUUUCAAAAGAAAUUAGGGUACUGUUCUUAAUAAAAUGUCUAAUUGCAUGAGGUGCUAAAUUUAAAGAGAAUAAAAAGCCAAUCCAAAUAGGUAUGGAGAUAAAAGGGGACUAACGGAAGAUCGUUCCAUGAAUAAAUUCUACACAACUGAACGGAACAUGUUUACAUAAUAGUAAUCAUGAUAAGAACGACCACAGUGAGAUAAGGAAAAGGUAAGGCGAGAGAAAAACAUCUUUUGACUACUAUUACUAGUAAAAUGGGUAAAGAAUAAUAUUGUACAGAAGAUGCAUCCUUCUAUGCAUCACCAACGAGCCGUGCAUAACAUUUGUACAAGCACCGCGAGCUUCGUUGAUGCAGCUGCAAAAUUGCUAAAUUUAAGAAAACAUACACUUAUGCUAAAUACAGUCUUGACUCUGGUUUAAUUUCCACACAUUCAUCGUGGGUAAAAGCCGAAGACGAACCAGAAGUGUGUACUGCAGUCAUGCUCCCUGAUGGCAUGUUCCCCGAAUGGCUUCCACUCAUGCUUCGACCCUUCGUGUGACAGUCAAGGUCUCUCAGAGCCUUGAACCUCAGGUCUUCGGUGUAGUUGCCUGGUGUUGGGAUUGAAUCUGGAAUAGUUGCCCUUCCUUCGAGCAUGUUCACCACCUCAGACAUUGUCGGUCUUAGCGAUGGCGAUGCAUUGGUGCAAAGUAGAACUACUUUGAUAACCAUUUCUGCCUCUUCUCGAUCAAUCUCAGGCUUCAACUUCUCAUCCACUAGUUCCAUCAAGUUGCCAGAUUGUUGUAAUUGACAGGCCUGCAAUCAUAGCAUUAAUAUCGUCAGCAUCGAAUAAAUGGAUCACCAUAUUAUGUUUCGGGACAUUUUCUAAUAUGACAAGCACCUUUAUUAAAUUCAAUGAUGUAAAUGCCUAAAAAUUUCUAGUACUGAAACCAAGAUAAUUUAAAAGUGAAGAUUUUCUUGAAAUGAGUAAAUGCUCUUCUCAUGAAUCUUGUCAUACCAUGCCAUCUCGUUAGAUUGUUCAUCAUAUAGAACACCGAUCGCAGUUAAAAAUGAGAAGAACUUACCCAAUCCAAGACGCAAAUGCACUCAUCACUUGGCACAAAACUACUGUUGCUUUGACCACUGACAAUUUCCAAUACAAGAACUCCAAAGCUGUACACAUCUGCUUUAGAGGUGAGGUAUCCCCAUAGGGCAUAUUCAGGUGCCAUGUAUCCCCUGCAAAUAAGGAUACAAGUUCUAGGUUAAAAUUUCCAUCAGACAUCAACAUCAUACAUAUAAGAACAAGUCAAAAUAUGGUUUUUGUGAUAUUCUCACAGAGACAUGGCGACUCACAUUGUUCCGGCAACCUUGGUGUUAAUAUGAGUCUUUUCCUCUUCAUCGAGCCUAGCCAAUCCAAAGUCGGAUAUUUUGGGGUUUAAAUCUCCAUCCAGCAGCACGUUAGUAGCUUUAAUAUCUCGAUGAAUAAUUCUAAGUCUGGAUUCUUCGUGAAGAAAUGCUAGACCUUUAGCCACUCCAAUGCAGAUUUGAAGCCUUGUAGGCCAGUCAAGUUGAAGCCGAUAGUUCUGUGGACCUACAAAAUACCCAUUCACUGUCUAUACACCGAAAUUUGAUCACAUGGCAUGAGAAUUUAGCAAAAACUACAAUUGAAAAAUUCAGACUCACCAAACAUAGCACGGAAAAGACUAUUAUUCUCCAUAUACUCAUAGACCAGCAACAGUUGAUCCCCUUCAAUGCAACAGCCGUGAAGCUUGACAAGGUUAGGGUGUUGUAAACAAGAAAUCAUGCCUAUCUCAUUCAAAAAUUCACGAUUCCCUUGCUUUGAUCUGGAUGAGAGCUGUUUAACUGCUACCAAAGUACCAUCAGGUAAUUUAGCCUGCACACCACAAUAACUCACAGUUUCUUCCGAAGCAAACUAAGUGGGAACUUUGUUAUUGUCAACAUACGAAUAGCACUUUUAUACCUUGUAUACAGGACCAAAGCCACCCUCUCCAAUCUUAGAAGCGGGAUCGAAAUCAUUAGUUGCUGCUUUAAUUUGAUGCAAAGAAUAAGUCCGUGAUUGCAGAUCCAAUCCUUUGUUAUCAUCUGGACAAGGAUUUUAAAAAAUCAGUGGGAAAUAGUUCUCCAAUGCCCAAAGGAAAAUCUCGCAGCAAUGCAGACUAAGAUGUAUAACCAUUGUUUUACAACCGAAGAACCUUUUUCUUAUAAAGAAUGAAGGAGGAGCAAAAUAAAGAAUGAAGGAAUCGAAGUGAAAAAAUAUGUAGAAAGGAACAUUCAUGAAUAAAUGCGGCUGUGUUUCCGUUUCUCUCUUUUGAUGUGUGAAUGACAGACAUACAUAUAUAUUUGGCCCUGAAAAAAGGAUUUCAUUUGAACUUGUAUACAUAUGAUCCACGUUGAAAGGGAGGGAUUCAUGGUACAACCUGCAGAUUUUCUUCUCCCCCUUUUCCCAGUCAAGUACCCUUUCCACCAAAGGAUGCACAGCAUGAAGAAAACAAAGCACGAGACUCCAACUCCUAUGAAGAUAGAAUUAGUUCUCCUUUUUCCAUGACUAGAGCAACCUUCAAAACCUGCCCAAUGAAACAACUCAAAAGAUAAUACUACUUCUGAACAAAGCACUAAGGAAAACAUCAAAGGAAAAGUACAAGCUCUAGUUUAUACUGUGAAUGAAGGAAAGAAAUCCUUCUAUUUUGCUUUUGAAAACCAACAUCAUGUAAUGUAUGAUCUUAUUUAACGGAGAAUGUAGGUUUAAACAAAUCCUCCUAAGGUACUUUCUGCACUCAAUUGAAAGAACAAGAAAGCAUUUUGUUUAUAUCCAUGUCUUUAUAUGGUUUUGUACCACAUAUAAAUUAUCAUACGCACAAAACUGCAAGACUAGUAAAAUUCACUCUGUUUCAAGCACGAUCCUAAAAUGUACCAGGUCAUGUCCUCAUCCAUGUGGCAGUGAAUGCAAAUUUAAGCAUUUCAUCUGUUUUCAGCUUUCAACAAGGAGAGAAGAAAAGAACGAGAUCUACUCUUGACAUAGAGAAGAGCAGCAGGUGCACUUUUUCAGCAUGUUAUACUGUAGCAAUUUGACUAAACUAAGAUGAAUUAUCAUUAUAGAGACAACAUGAUAAGAAGCCAGAAAAAUGAAGUGUACUUCAUCCAUUAAGCAUUCAGCAAAAGCAGAAGCAUAAUAUUUCUGAAGAAAACCAAAUGCCCAUAAAAUUUGACCAGAGUAUUCCUCCCACACGUAUUCAAUCCACCUUUAAACAAAGCAAGCUGGAGGCUCAAACAACUAGAAAGGUCUAGUCACACAUACCAAAACUGGACCAGCGAAGAAAAAGCUAAGCGACAUAUUCUUAAAAAAAAAAAAAAAAAUGUAGUAGUAGUACUACCAUUAGUCCGAGCAUAUAAUGGACACUGAUUUAUCCCUAAGUUGGGGUGGGUAAUGUCUCACCCGAUACGUACUCUUAUUCAUUGGGACCAAAUUAUAAUGAAGCAGUUGGACUUUUACUAUUAAACAAUCAAAGCAAAGUAAAGGCAAAAUUACACCGGUUUUGUAAAUUGCAAAGAUUUUAUGCAAAACAUUUACUGACUUCUAGAGCAAUUAUACGUAAAGAAAAUAUAUAAACAAUUCACUCACCAGAGACAACAGAAAUUGCUGAUACUAGAGGACCAUAAACACUUCUACGGGGAAUUCUUGUUGUUCCUUUACCCGCCCAAGAAAAUCGGACCUCCAGCAUAUUAUUGGUCACAUUGACAUUAAAUAUUCCCACUACAGGUUUUUCAACCCCACCCGCCUCAUCUUUGAUAUUGAAAUCCUUCCUGACUAAUUUGUCCUGUGAUAUUGUAGCAUGUUGAGAGGAAUGCCCAACUCCAAAUAUGUAUAAAGCACAAGACGCAACUGUAACACGUGGAACUACCUGAAUAUAUAUAUGGAACAUUCGCUUCCCGAGACUAUUAAAUGCAUUGUCAGUUGUGAACUGAAUCUCUGCAAACUGUAAAUGUACAGUGUACUGUCCAUUUCUUAAGCAAUAAAAGAAGUAGGAAAGCGAAAUCGGAGAGAUUCUUGCCGUUGUAUAGCGAACAUCCAUGUUUGCAUCUGAUAAAGUUACAGUGUAUAGUGUAUUUUGGAAAUCAUCGUCGUUCAUGAAGUCACUGUAUAGUGUAUUUUGGAAAUCAUCGUCGUUCAUGAAGUCACCUGUGCUACUAAACCCCCAAUUCCGAUUUCUAUCACAGAACAGUCUGUUUAUUUUCUUUGAUGUUUGCAUCUUGUCCACCACAGUUAACAUGUUGGCAACUCGAAUCUGUCAGAACAAGUUUAAACUUCAGCAAAAUAAAUGAUGGACCUUAAAUAAGGGUGUUAGCAUAUUUGAAUAUUAAUUUAAGCCUUUAUCUAUUACGCUUUCAAAAUAGUUGGUGGUGGUUUUACAAAACUUUACAUCAUAUUAGAGCAAAAUGUCCUAGAUACAAAUCUUAUCAGGCCUUUAUUCGCCUCCCCUAUUAUUCAUUUCCACGCACUAGUUGUAGACCAAAGUCCCAACUUACGAACGAGAGAGGGGGAGUGUUUAAGCAAUGUUAAAUCAAGCCUUCAUUUAAUAAUUUAAACUUUAGAAUGGUUGACAAUGGUCUCACAAAAUUUUACAAAAAGAAUGCUCCGCAUCUUAGGAACAAAAUAAUGAGGAGAUGCUGUCCAUGGACAGAAAAAGAAAACCUUCUCAUUUUUCAUACAGAAAGGCAUUGUAUCCAAUACAUGUUUUGCAGCUCACAGAAAAAUACAUACAGCGUGAACAGCGGAAGUUGUCCAAGCAUGGCACGGCUCUACUUCUGCAGCAGAGUAGAAACAUAAACCGAUAGUUAAAGAUAAGUGUUCCUGCCUUUUGAAAAUGAAUCAAGGACAUAAUAGUUUGAACAGGGCUAGCAGAAAUAAUAAAUGAUAGACGUCUAAAGCAAGUAAAAGAAUUGUAAAGUGAGGGAAAAAGAAAAACCGAGAAAUCUUACAAGUUGUUCUCUUGUGAAGAGCUUUUGUAGAGGUUCAAGUUUAGGUCCCUGACAGAUGAAGAAAAACUGACUCAUCAGAUUUCUUAAGUACAUAACAAUAUGACUUAUUGGGCAAAAAUCACGAGAAUCCUCACAAGUUGUCCCGACAAGCUUGUUGGUCAGAGCUUUGCCAUGAAAAGUUGUUGUAAGAAAGAUCGCUGCAUCCACGCAACAACAAGCAUUCAAGUGAUUUUAUUUUAAGAUGAAGAUUUGACAGCAAUUGUAUCCCAAAUAAGCGAAAGAGGGCAAACCAAAAAUUCGGAAGUAAGCUUGUGAAAUCAACUUUGACGAGAAGAAAACAUACACACUGGUUCCAUCCUUCAAGAUUGAGUCUGGUACUUGUCCGCUCAGAAUAUUGCCCGUUAGAAAGCUAGCCAAAACAAAAUCUGGCGUUUUAGCACUCAUGAAGAAAAAUUGAUCACCAAAAUACAUGAGAAAAACAAAACUUAUUGAUGCAUCCGAAUAUAUACUGUGACAUAGUUACAGAUUGAAUGCCCCCAUUUGAGGUUGCAACAUUUGCUACUACAAGCAUGUCAGGUUUUGUAAAACAUGGCUUCAUAUCUUCCCUCUACCUCUUAGAGCGCAUAAAAUAAAAACACAGAUAUAUUUGAUGAUCACAUGGCUCAAUUUUUCAGCUUUUAAUUCGAUCCUAUUAAGAAAGAUUUUUAUAAACAAAUCUCCAUUUACACGGUCAUGUCACCACCCAUUUCAUUAUAUCUCAGACGAUCGGUAGGGUACAGACUUACAUAAAUCUCAAUCUUUUUGCAGUGAUUGUCGCUGGAAUUUCACCGACUAAUCUGUUGAAGCUGAGAUCCCUGUUAAAUGGAGGAUAUGAGUGCUUGUAUGUGCAAUAUUACUCCAAAAACUGAAAACAGAGAUCUCAGCUAACAAAGCCAGCUCUAAGUCUUGUGUACAGAACAUAAUCAGAGGGUAGUAAUGUUGAGAAGACAGUAUGUACACAAACUUGACCGGAUGCAGAAAUUAACGCCAAACAUCCUACCAAGAAAACCCCCUGCCCAUAUUGGUAACUUUCCUGUAUAGUUAAAUUUGGUUUCCAACUGAAAAACGAACGUUGGGUUAAUAUGAAUCACGCAUUCCCAGUUUAUACACAAAUUCCAUGUAACAUCAGUUUGGUCCUCCAAUCAUAAAAACAAACGAAAAAAAGAUGCAUGGUUUAUUGUGAUAUGGUGAUGUCAGUCAAGUACUGUUUGUGGCUGUUAAUCAGGAGUGGAACCAAAUCUUUUGAGGUUAUGAAUUAUACAUAUGUAUAAUAUUGCAACUCACACGGAUUGUCAACUGGUAAAGUACGAGUAAGAAGGGGCAGCAGUCGAUGUCUUGGUUGUGGGAAAAAUAUGUCCACUUCAAGGCUCUAAUUCUAGGUGCUUAGAACAGUCCACUAUUGUGGACUGGAACAAAAUAUAUGUGGAGAACCACAGCAGGAGGCAAUUCUGUAUUAGUGCCGAACAAUGGUACAUGGAUAUAUCAAGUUUAAGUUAAUUGAGUUAAUAAACAAAAAGUACAAUUUGACUGUUCUUUUUCUUAAAAAGAAAGAUCAGUACAAGGUCCCAACCAAAUUUCGCACCUAACUUCUGGCAUAUUCGAGGCAACACCGUCAGUAGAAUAUAUCCUUUGAUCAUGGAAUGUUAUCAUUGUGCACUUUCAGCUCUCUUGCACAGCAUGACUUUGACAAAUCCUACUUGCGCAUCUACUGUUUCUCAUACAGCGGCUAAAAGAGAAAGUUCCAAGUUCAUUUAGCACCCAGACAAGAUUAACCACUACCUUUGUGCAACAAUGAAAAAUUGCACUGACUUCUCCAAAGGAUCUUUCAGAUUAUGGAAGAUGGUUAGAAAUAUUCUCAAACUUGAGAAUGAGUGAUGUGGACAUUAGCAUGAUUUGUACUGUACAUGAUGCAAAAAGCAAGCUUAGAAAUUUUACAGACAAUAACUCACACGAGUAAUACUUACACGACUUCUAGUUCUUCUAAGUUCCAAAUGUAAGAUGGAAUCUCCCCAGAUAUGUUACAGCUCCUUAGCACCCUGACAAUAACAGAUUAGUUACUCAAACAUUCGUGACAUGUAACAAAAUGAUUUCCUAGUAGAGAAAUGAGUGAAACAAGAAUCAAACCUACAAUGUUACGAGGCCUGUCAUAUUACUGAGAUUAGGAAAUAGCUGUCUGGGACUGAUUAUGUCACUCAUUUUCCUGAAAAAGACAUAAGAACUUGCUCUAAAUUUCUCAACUUGAUAACUGCACAUCAGAUUUUCAAAUAUGAAUUUCACAGGAUCAUGACAGGAUACUGUACGCUUACAAGUGGACCAUGUUAUUGAAAAGUGAGACAACAGUUGGAAUAGGCCCCUCCAGCCCACUUGCGAUCAUUUCUCUGCACAUCACAAUAUGAAAAAUGAUAGUUACUUGCUUGGAAUGAGUAGUGUUUGCUCUUAUUCAUCAUCUCUAGCUUAAAAAAUUUCAAAAGAUCUUACAAUCUAUUGAGUUGUAAGCAGUUCUUGAUGAACUCUGGUAUUCUGCCACUGAAGUUAUUAUCAUUUAUCCUCCUGCAUUAUGCAAUUGAAAUGUGUCAUCAGACAUUUGAAUUAAGAUAUGUAAUCUGUAUGGGAGGAAUGAGACAACAUCAUACAAAUCUGUAAGAUUUAUCAAACCAGCAAAAGAGGUUGGCAAGUUUCCAGUUAACUGAUUGGAGGACAGAAUCCUGCCAGCAUGACAUGCCAAGAACAGGCCCACAUCAACAUCUAAUAUAUAUAAAACUUGCAAUCAGAACAAGUGGACAAUAAAUAAUUAUACAGCAUCUCACAGAGUUUGUAGGUUGAUCAAACUUCCGAGCUCAGGAGGAAUGUUGCCAGAGAAUUGGUUGACCUCAAGGCAUCUGAUUUAGAAUCCCCAGUAAAAUCACUAAGAGUAUGAUCCAACAUAACUUAAGGAAAUUGCAUAGUAAGUGUCCUAGCUUCACUGCAAAAAGUAAUCAUGGCAACUAAGAGAUUCUAUAGACAUUAUUACAGCUAUAAGCAAACUUGCAAGCAACAGAGACAAAGAUGUUGAAAACGCACAGGUAUGUGAGAGAGGUGAUACUGCCCAAAGUCUUUGGAAUUUCCCCAGAUAAGCGAUUCACGAGAACAGAGCUGCAUUGAUCACUCCAAUUAUUUAUACCAAGGCUAAUGAGAUGCCAGUACAAGAUAGAAUUAUUAGAAUAGAAUCAUUAGAAGAAUCUUACAUUGAAGUCAACUGCAUAGAAGCCCACUCCUGAGGUAUUGUCCCAUAGAGGUAGUUAUAAGCAAAGUCACUACAAGAAUAAGAUAGUAAUUAUCCACAAAGUAGGAUUUCAAAUAAGUAUUCCAUGUCCAUAUAUUAGCUUAUAUCUGCAAGAAAUAUGAUAGUGUUUAAUUAAGGUCUCACAUUUCUCUAAGGUGAGGAAGCUUAGCAAGUUCAGGGGGGAGGAUCCCAGGGAGACUAAAGCCCUUGAGAGUUCUACAAAGCAUCAAAGCCAAAAUUAGACAAACUCAAGUAACAUCACGCGAUGAAUGAUAACAAUUUCUACACAGACAAACAACAGAAAGAGGUCCUUAAGGGCUCUGCCACAAGCAUGCAAUGAAAAACUGUUUUAAAUUUGCAAAGCACAUCUAUACUCACCAAUGCUGCAUAUAAGCUGUUCUUUGAAAGGUUACAAUGAAUUAUAAUGACCGGCUUUAAUGUUUUUUAACCAACUAGGAUGAAAAUUAAAGGGAAGUACAAAAGAGUAUAAUUAAAAAAAUACUCAACAUAUUCUAGGAUAAUUCACUAUGUGUCUACAUAAUCUUCUAAAAUGUCAUGUUUGGAAUUGGAUGUUAUCAUGGUAUGAGAAUUUUGAACUAAAUAGUGGCCGGCAGUCCAAUAAGCAUGGGAAUAUUAGGUAGAUGAUUACAAUCUAAACAUCCUACAUAUUAUAUAUUUUAAAAAGAGAGUCAGCAUCUUCUUGGUUCCUUCUGAAGAAUUUUAUGAAAAAUUGCGGAAAUUGACUCAAUUAAAAUAUACAGAUUACCUAGUCUACACGUAUCAAAAAUUUCCAGCUGCAGAAAAGAGGUCCUUUUUUUCUCAUGCCUGUAUAUAGUGAGGCUCUCAUUUGAGUCACAGUCUCAGCUUUCAAGGUCUCGCAAUAACUAGUUUCUUAUGAAAAAUUGUGGACUCAAACCUUUUCACGUUUUGUCAUGUAAUGCAUUUUAUUCAGCUGCCUAUGUAACACCUCUCAUUUUGUGUUUGCAACCAAGAAUCUGAACAUUGUCAAAGCAGCCCCAGAUAUUCACGCUAUUUACUGUUGUAAGUUACAUCAACCCUGCUUAAGAGACUGGGUGCAAAACUAUGCAUUAAAUCUGAGUAACGAGCUGAGGAGUAUAUACAUGUUUACGACAUGACAGAAGGUAUCAUUUAGGAAGUUGCAUUCACAAGCAACAGUACUCUCAGAUCCUUUUGGUAUUUCUGUUGUUACACCAACUUUUACGACUUCACAAGAAUCACCAUCAAACUCCCAAUACUUGGCCCCCAGUUUAGCAGCGAUUUGUUGAAGGGCUUCCACUGAUUCCCAUUCAGAACCAUGUAAAGAAGAAAAUAAGCGAAAAGAUAAGUGUCAUUGCAGUAACGUGAGUAGCCAAUCAAAUAUUUAAGGAUAUUUGCCUGAUAUCAUUAGCAAAGAUCAGGACAACUUACUGGAAAAGUAUUAAGCAUAACAAACAAUCGUAACCCCAAACCAAUCUUUGCAAAUUUGCUUCCGAGUUCCUAGACUAAGUUUAGUAAUUCUGCUAUCCAAGAUCAAUCCAAGAAACAGCAGAAUCAGCAUAACGGCAAGCAAAAUAAGAAUUGUGGACAGUGUGACGAAAGAGAGAACUGGAUUUUAUCUGUGCUUUUUAUUUCUGUUGUAAGUUACUGUACGGAAGAUCUCGUUGUGCUUCAAACCCAUUAAAGAAAGGUGAAAAGCACAAAAUUCCAUAAACAAAGACAGAUGCAAAGCCAACUUAGCUACUCCAAACCAUCUUAAGAAGGCAAAGCUCAGAAAAACUCAGCACAAAACUUUUAAUUAUAUCCAGAGUUGACAAAAUGAAUAUUUUGCACUUACCUUCUUGGGGAAAAACCUUUGGUUCAGCCAAUCUAAGCAUCCUGAAGUAGCUCAAGGCAAAAAUCAAGAAAAUUAAGAAGUUCUUCGCAACCAUGAUCAAGAGAAAAUGUGGGCCUCGGAUAAGCCAGGACCCAGAUAGCUGUUUUCGCUUUGGACUUGCGUUGUCAGAGUAUUGUCAAAAGAAUCAAAACCAGGAAAUAUUUCUCUCUCUCUCUCUACUUUAUUUGACCUUUAUGGGCCUUGGAGGUGUGCACGUUGUUGGAGCGUAGCCGCCAUCGUACCAAAUGAACCGGAGUCAAACUUUCUUUUUUCCUCAUUGGUCCGUUCGUUUCACGGAAAAUAAUUUCCAAAAAAAUAAUUUCCAAAAUUUUCGAUGUUCGGGUGGGCAGAAAUUAGACGGUCAAAGAAAACCUUUUCCAGUCAAAGGAAAAUCCCCUUGUAAGAUCGUGGAAACUGAUUUCAUCUUUUGAAAAGAGGAAAUCAUUUUCCCGUCCUCUUGCACGCACUCUCGCGCUUGCUCUUGCGCUGCUUUGGGCAAUGAUCGGCUUCAGUUUUUAAUGUCUCCUAGCGGUUUUGGUUUUGGUUCUUCACGAGACAGGAUCAAUGCUUUUGCUGGCUUUUUGCAUUUGUUGGUUGUUGCUUUUUCUUUUUUUUGGGUUGAUCGAGGCAUUUGCAUCAAUUGAUCAAUUUCGUCGUUGCUGCAUUUGGAAUAGUUUUCUGCUAUUGCUGAUGUUGCGAGUUUUCCGCCUCUCUUAUUCUUCCCCUGCACUUUGAAUUGUGCUUUCAAAUCACUCUAGUCCUAAAACUGGCUGAUUGGAUCAAUGGAUUAGAAUAAUUUUCAUUCGUCCUCGAUCCAAGGUGGCGAGUCAUUGUACUGAUUCAAUGAGAUAAUGACUGUUGCUUGAUCUCGAUUGUUCUCCAAUGCUUUCUUCACUGCCUGCGAGCUUUGAAGUUCAAAGCUUUACACAGCUUCUGGUUGAAUUAUUAUACUCUUAUGCCUCGAGCACAUUGAACGUUGACUCUAACUGGACAUAUGUUGGGCAUUAUCAAUUAGAUGUGAAUUUGAAUGAAAUGGGUUUAGUUUGAUCAUUCUCGUAAAUAAUUAGUUUGAUUAUUCUCUUACAUGUUCAUGAUUAUGGAUACUGUCUGAUCUAUUUUCUAGGGUUCAAAGCAUGUUUAAAAAUCAUUGUCAAUGUAUAGUUUGCUUUACAUCUACCAAAUAAUUGGUUGGCUUUAUUGGACGACUUCAUUGAACAUAAAUUCUGACGAAUUUGGCUUAAAAUGAAGACCGGUUGCAAGUUUUGCUAACUCUAUUUUUAUUUCUUAUUGUCCCUCAUUUGUGGGUUUUCUUGAUACUUGGCAGUAAGGGUAUUUCAACUUCUGCACUGCCCUACAAGAGGACUCCUCUGAGCUAGCUCAAGAUUUCUUCUCAGGAUGUAAGAACAUUUUCGACUGCGUUUGUUUGUUUUUGUGGGAUAAUGGGUAGUUUGUAGCUGUCACCUUCCUCUCAGGAUCUGGUGUAAGAUGUGUAAAAUGAAGACUAUUUUACUUGUUUGUAUAUAGAGGCUCACUAUUUCAGUAGCAAGAUGAUGUCUUGGACUUGUCUCUAGGUGCAUGGUUGGUGAUCGUGAUUGUGAUGGUGAUCGAGAACUCUUCAUUGAUGCUCUGUUUCUCCUCCGGUGAGGCUUAGAUGUUUGCUGGCACUCGUGAGAUUGUAUCCAGGAAAAACUUCGAGCUUCUGCGGCCUUAAAAAACCGGUCUUUGCACUGUGCAAGAAUUGAGCGGCUCUAGAUAUUGGUUGACUGAAUGCUGCAGAAGCAAGAGUAAAUUCGCAAGUGUUUAUUUACCAAAAACCUCUAUUUUAAAUAGCAAUAAAUGCGAAACAUGAAUCCAAGUCCAGUUGUUUGGUUUCCUAGAAUAAUUUUGCCAAGUGGAUUCAUUCUGAGUUGAACACCAAUGGCCUGAGACAAACUAUUCCCAAGCAAAAGGGUUAGAAAAUAUUUUUCUUACCGAAUACUAGAAAACAUUUUUCGAAACAUUUUCAGAUUUUAGCCGAACACCAGAAAAUAUUGUCAUUUUCCUGGAAAAUGAUUUCCGGGAAAAUAUUUUCUGAAAUUGGCCAAUUUUCCGCGAAACGAACGGACCAUCAAUUUCAGAAGACAAAAAUAUCAUCACCUAAACUUUUCCUGUCAGAUUAUCAAAUUUUUUGCUUUCUCCUUGUCUUGCCUCGGGACUUUUGUGAAGGUGGAAGGUGUUAGCUAGUAAAAAUUACAAUUACUUGUGCUCGACUUUUGGAGGGUUUUUUUCUCGAUUGUUUUUUUUUUCUAAAAUACUGAACUUCUCAAUUGAGUUUAAGCUUAAAGUAAUUUAACUUUCAAAGAACUCCACAAUAUUAUAGUCAAAUUUCAGGAAUGUAACCGAAAUUAAAUCGUGGGCCUAAAAGCUGAGAUCUCUCUUGGCGUCCACGCCUUUAUAGAUUGAAUCAUUGUUAGGCUGCUUUAGUGGGGCUUGAGCUCGUCAUUAAAGUGAAAAAUUUUCCUAAAAUAAAAAAUACAUAUUUGUAGAAUCAAGCUAUAUUCAACCUCCAGCAAGAAUUUGCCAUCGUCACACCGCUUAACUUAUUAAUGCUGUAAAUCAGCCUCCAUUUUCUUCUUCCAAGAAUAGGACAAUGAUCAUAGCAUUAUAAAGUAGGUAACACUAGUCCAUUUAGGACAUGAUGAAAGUUUCAUUACAAAGAAAGAAAAGAAAAUGCCACCACUCGAUAUAUACACAUGUAAAUGAAUUUGCCACUUGUUUGGGGGAUCGUCAACAAUGGCUGCCAGAUAGAAGCUAAAUUUCAAAGCAUCUCAAUCUCGGGGUUGAUGUCUUGGAUUUUUCAAAGGCUUUUGCUUCGUGACUAAGUUUGGCCAAUGAUGAAUCUAUAAAGAAUUUUAAUUCAGCAGAAGAGAGGGGUCAAAGGGUCGAAAGCUUUUUAAGCGGGCUUUGACCGCAUGGGCCGUGUUCGAUUCUUCAUCGUUCGUUAUUUGCAUGAAAUUGGCCUAUCCGAACGGACAGCGACGUGGGCGUCCCUCUCGGUGACGAGACCCCGUCUCGUGGAAUUAAUAUCUCAGAGCUGACUAGACGUCCGUUCCGACGUGUGUGGCACGGUCGAGGAGAAAUUAUUAUACGACCAUAGUACACGCACGUGGCUGCAAAAUCGCGGGCCGGAAAGAGAGACGACGUGUGUGUAUAGAACACGUUUCAUAUUUGCAGUCAAGUGAUGCGAGACAACAUCGGACUGGGAAUUGCCGUGGAAUCACUGCAAGUGGCGAGGAAAUUGCAAUUAUAAAGUGUUCUUAUCCCAUUCCGAUUGAAAUGACUUAUUUUCACAAGGAUCCGUAAACUAUCUCAUCCCAUAUACAUCGAACGAGAGGCUUUAUGCAUACGGAUGAUGGUGUGGCCCCUAAACUUACUUCUUGAGGAAAAUCGUCUAAAAAGUCUAUAACUUGCUUUUAAUUUUACUAAUUGAGUUCCAAAUAUUUUCACAUAUUAUCAAUUAAGAUCAAUCCAAUUAAUUUUAGUUAGAAAUUAUUGAUAUGGUCUCUGUUUAUCUUAAAUACAUGGAUUAGUCGACGCUAAUUUAGAAAAUUUUGAAUAAUAUUAUAAUGUUAUUUUUUCUUAUUUUCCCUCCAUUCUUCUUUCUCUAGCUGACAACGGGGCUUAAGUAGUGGCCAACAACAGACUAAAGGAAAUGACUAGUGAUCCUCACCGAAGGCUAUUGAGGAUCACCGUGCUAGAGGACGGCAAGGCUCGCCCUUGUUGACCUUACUCGAAGCCAAUGAGGCUCGCUCUCGUAGGACUUUGGCAAGGUCAACCCUUGCUAGAUUCCAACAAAGGUGACCUAACUUUCGUCGAGGAAGAAGAGGGGAGGGGAAAAAAAUAAAAAAUAAAAAGAAGGAAAAAAGAGGAUAAAAAUAAUAACUAUAUAUUUUGAAAAAUAUAUUAAAAUAUUAUUAAAAAUUACUUACUUUAGUAUCAGUCCUGCCAUGUAGAACAACUAGUGUCCAUGUUAGCAAUUUCCAACUAAAAUUAUCGGGAUGAACUCAAUUGGCAAUGUUAAUAGAUUCAAGAAUGAAUUGACAAAAAUGUAAUGGGUUUAUAAUUUUAAGGGAAAUUUUCUUGUUACUUUGGGUGGGUAUAGAAUCUCCGUUUCGAUUAAAGGAUCUGCCGCUUCAAUUGGAGUACCGCCCCUUCUUUAUCCUUCAUGAGAAACACUGCGCCGGGCCUUUCUUGAGCCACUAAGGCCCGCCGGGCUAAUUCAAUUGGAGUACCCCAUCUCUCUUUCGAGCCCGACAGCCCGGCCCGGGCCGAGCUUUAGCGUCUCAAACAAUCAGCCCGGCCCGGCCCGGCCCGGCCCGGCCCGGGCCGAGCUUUAGCGUCUCGGACCUUUUACCUCCCACCAUGCCUAAAAAGAGUUACGAAAUAUUUUGCACAUUGAUUUAUACAACACUAUUUGUAUGUUUCGAAAAAAAUUAGGGUACUAUUCUUAAUAAAAUGUCUAAUUGCAUGAGGUGCUAAAUUUAAAGAGAAUAAAAAGCCAAUCCAAAUAGGUAUGGAGAUAAAAGAAGACUAACGGAAGAUUGUUCCACGAAUAAAUUCUACACAACUGAACGGAACAUGUUUACAUGAUAGUAAUCAUGAUAAGAACGACCACAGUGAGAUAAGGAAAAGGUCAGGCGAGAGAAAAACAUCUUUUGACUACUAUUACUAGUAAAAUGGGUAAAGAAUAAUAUUGUACAGAUGAUGCAUCCUUCUAUGCAUCACCAACGACCCGUGCAUAACAUUUGUACAAGCACCGCGAGCUUCGUUGAUGCAGCUGCAAAAUUGCUAAAUUUAAGAAAACAUACACUUAUGCUAAAUACAUUCUUGACUCUGGAUUAAUUUCCACACAUUCAUCGUGGGUAAAGCCGAGACGACCAGAGUGUCUACUGCAGUCAUGCUCCCUGAUGNNNNNNNNNNNNNNNNNNNNNNNNNNNNNNNNNNNNNNNNNNNNNNNNNNNNNNNNNNNNNNNNNNNNNNNNNNNNNNNNNNNNNNNNNNNNNNNNNNNNUGGUGGGAUUGAAUCUGGAAUAGUUGCCCUUCCUUCGAGCAUGUUCACCACUCAGACAUUGUUGGUCUAGCGAUGGCGAUGCAUUGGUGCAAAGUAGAACUACUUUGAUAACCAUUUCUGCCUCUUCUCGA
RNAcentral lists this long non-coding RNA (42999 nucleotides) under Eucalyptus grandis. RNAcentral describes it as "long non-coding RNA (EGRA_LNC002182)". Lineage: Eukaryota; Viridiplantae; Streptophyta; Magnoliopsida; Myrtales; Myrtaceae. The record is from RNAcentral.